RNAcentral lists this ribosomal RNA (468 nucleotides) under uncultured bacterium. RNAcentral describes it as "partial 16S ribosomal RNA". It matches the Rfam family "Bacterial small subunit ribosomal RNA", at positions 28 to 507 of the family's 1533-position model. The record is from RNAcentral.
GACGAACGCUGGCGGCGUGCUUAACACAUGCAAGUCGAACGGAAAGGCCCUGCUUUUGUGGGGUGCUCGAGUUGCGAACGGGUGAGUAACACGUGAGUAACCUGCCCUUGACUUUGGGAUGACUUCAGGAAAGUGGGGCUAAUACCGGAUAGGAGCUCCUGCUGCUGGGUGGGGGUUGGAUAGUUUAGGCGGUUGGGGAUGGACUGGCGUCUCAUCAGCUUGGUGGUUGGGUAGUGGCUUACCAAGGCUUUGACGGGUAGCCGGCCUGGGAGGGGGACCGGACAAAUUGGGAUGGGGAUAAGGCCCAGACUCGUACGGGAGGGAGGGGAGCGGAAGAGUGUACAAUGGGAUGAAGCAUGAUGUAAUCAAGCCGCGUCGGGGAAGAGGGCAAUGGGGUAGUAAUGUGAUUUCGUCUGAGACGAAGCGAGAGUGACGGUAACGGGUAAAGAAGCACCGGCUAACUACGUG